Non-coding RNA from Cherax quadricarinatus, 1738 nucleotides. Lineage: Eukaryota; Metazoa; Arthropoda; Malacostraca; Decapoda; Parastacidae. The record is from RefSeq and is a predicted model, not a curated record.
CCAAAAUAGGCCGUCGAAUUCAUUCUGACGAGGACAUUCGAGCACUCCAGGAAGAUUUGAAUAGACUGAUGCAGUGGUCGGAGAAGUGGCAGAUGCAGUUUAAUAUAGACAAAUGCAAAGUUCUAAAUGUUGGACAGGACAAUAACCAUGCCACAUAUAAACUAAAUAAUGUAGAUCUUAAUAUACGGAUUGCGAAAAAGAUUUAGGAGUUCUGGUUAGCAGUAAUCUGAAACCAAGACAACAGUGCAUAAGUGUUCGCAAUAAAGCUAAUAGAAUCCUUGGCUUCAUAUCAAGAAGCAUAAAUAAUAGGAGUCCUCAGGUUGUUCUUCAACUCUAUACAUCCUUGGUUAGGCCUCAUUUAGAUUAUGCUGCACAGUUUUGGUCACCGUAUUACAGAAUGGAUAUAAAUUCUCUGGAAAAUGUACAAAGGAGGAUGACAAAGAUGAUCCCAUGUAUCAGAAACCUUCCCUAUGAGGAUAGACUAAGGGCCCUGAAACUGCACUCUCUAGAAAGACGUAGAAUUAGGGGGAUAUGAUUGAGGUUUAUAAGUGGAAGACAGGAAUAAAUAAAGGGGAUGUAAAUAGUGUGCUGAAAAUAUCUAGCCUAGACAGGACUCGCAGCAAUGGUUUUAAGUUGGAAAAAUUCAGAUUCAGGAGGGAUAUAGGAAAGUACUGGUUUGGUAAUAGAGUUGUGGAUGAGUGGAACAAACUCCCAAGUACAGUUAUAGAGGCCAGAACGUUGUGUAGCUUUAAAAAUAGGUUGGAUAAAUACAUGAGUAGAUGUGGGUGGGUGUGAGUUGGACCUGAUAGCUUGUGCUAACAGGUCGGUUGCCGUGUUCCUCCCUUAAGUCAAUGUGACCUGACCUGACUAGGUUGGGUGCAUUGGCUUAAGCCGGUAGGGACUUGGACCUGCCUCGCAUGGGCCAGUAGGCCUUCUGCAGUGUUCCUUCGUUCUUAUGUUCUUAUGUUCUUAAUUGUGAUUUUCUUGCCAUUCAUUGUUUUUCAUAAUAUUUUAUUUGAUGACCUCUCGUGAUGCCGAUAGGCUUCAAACCAACCCAUCAAAUGAAGCGACGAACAUUUUCAGUGCAGCCAUAAGGUAUAUAUACAUCUAGAAGUAUAUGUCUUUCAGCGUAUAUAUGCUGAGAGUUUACUUUAAUCCCUAUUUAAGGGAUUAAAGUAUUCUUGUCUGAUAGUGAAAAGGUUACAUGCAGCUUGAAUAACCCUCGUGUAGUUAAUAGGCUUUAAACUCCAUUAGCCAACCAGUUCAGCCAGAGUCAGGCAGUGUGUGUGUGGCUGUCCAGUGACUGAGUGUGCUAGUGUCACCCUGUGUACGAGGUGUGUUACUCAUGGUAUUGAAGAAUACUCGAAGGUGAGAGGACGAGUGGUUGAAGCAUCAAGUCAGGUCGUCAACAAAGGAUGCGACCCACACCAGUCGACUAAUACCCAGGUACUUAUUUGCCGCUACGUGAGCAGGGACAUCAGGAAACACGCCCUAAUGCUUCCACCAGUACCUGGAAUCGAACCAUGGACAUUGUGUGUGAGCGACGGUGAAUCAAGUUGGUGCACUUGUAUAUAUAUCUUCGUGAGAUAUUUCUUAAGUUUUUGUGAGAAUAUUAGUACGGACUGAGGACCAGGGAAUGUGUAGCAAUGAUCUACAUAUUCUUAUAUAAUGGUCUAGGACCGGGGCAAAAUAAAUAUUAAAUAUGGUUUUAAAUUUCUAUAUUUAGGAAGAUUAAAGA